Molecule: ribosomal RNA, 468 nt
Filed under: uncultured bacterium
Lineage: Bacteria
Description: partial 16S ribosomal RNA
Rfam family: Bacterial small subunit ribosomal RNA
Source: RNAcentral
GACGAACGCUGGCGGCGUGCUUAACACAUGCAAGUCGAACGGAAAGGCCCUGCCUUUGUGGGGUGGACGAGUGGCGAACGGGUGAGUAACACGUGAGUAACCUGCCCCUGACUUUGGGAUAACUUCUGGAAACUGCGGCUAAUACCGGAUACGAGAUUCUGCUGCAUGGGGGUGGUUGGAAAAUUUCGGCGGUUGGGGAUGGACUCGCGGCUUAUCAGCUUGUUGGUGGGGUAGUGGCUUACCAAGGCUUCGACGGGUAGCCGGCCUGAGAGGGUGACCGGCCACAUUGGGACUGAGAUACGGCCCAGACUCCUACGGGAGGCAGCAGUGGGGAAUAUUGCACAAUGGGCGGAAGCCUGAUGCAGCAACGCCGCGUGCGGGAUGACGGCCUUCGGGUUGUAAACCGCUUUCGCCUGUGACGAAGCGUGAGUGACGGUAACUGGUGAAGAAGCACCGGCUAACUACGUG